CACGUAGGGUGCGAGCGUUGUCCGGAAUUAUUGGGCGUAAAGAGCUCGUAGGCGGUGUGUCGCGUCGGCCGUGAAAACCUGCAGCUUAACUGUGGGCUUGCGGUCGAUACGGGCAUCACUGGAGUUCGGCAGGGGAGACUGGAAUUCCUGGUGUAGCGGUGAAAUGCGCAGAUAUCAGGAGGAACACCGGUGGCGAAGGCGGCGCUCUGGACCGAGACUGACGCUGAGGCGCGAAAGCGUGGGGAGCAACAGG
Molecule: ribosomal RNA, 253 nt
Filed under: uncultured bacterium
Lineage: Bacteria
Description: partial 16S ribosomal RNA
Rfam family: Bacterial small subunit ribosomal RNA
Source: RNAcentral